RNAcentral lists this ribosomal RNA (901 nucleotides) under uncultured bacterium. RNAcentral's name for it is "bacterial SSU rRNA". It matches the Rfam family "Bacterial small subunit ribosomal RNA", at positions 52 to 968 of the family's 1533-position model. The record is from RNAcentral.
CACAUGCAGUCGAACGAGAGAAGAGAAGCUUGCUUUUCUGAUCUAGUGGCGGACGGGUGAGUAACACGUGAGCAAUCUGCCUUUCAGAGGGGGAUACCGAUUGGAAACGAUCGUUAAUACCGCAUAAUAUAAUUGAACCGCAUGAUUUGAUUAUCAAAGAUUUAUCGCUGAAAGAUGAGCUCGCGUCUGAUUAGCUAGUUGGUAAGGUAACGGCUUACCAAGGCGACGAUCAGUAGCCGGACUGAGAGGUUGAUCGGCCACAUUGGGACUGAGACACGGCCCAGACUCCUACGGGAGGCAGCAGUGGGGAAUAUUGCACAAUGGAGGAAACUCUGAUGCAGCGAUGCCGCGUGAGGGAAGAAGGUUUUAGGAUUGUAAACCUCUGUCUUCAGGGACGAAAAAAGACGGUACCUGAGGAGGAAGCUCCGGCUAACUACGUGCCAGCAGCCGCGGUAAUACGUAGGGAGCGAGCGUUGUCCGGAAUUACUGGGUGUAAAGGGAGCGUAGGCGGGAUCGCAAGUCAGAUGUGAAAACUAUGGGCUUAACCCAUAAACUGCAUUUGAAACUGUGGUUCUUGAGUGAAGUAGAGGUAAGCGGAAUUCCUAGUGUAGCGGUGAAAUGCGUAGAUAUUAGGAGGAACAUCAGUGGCGAAGGCGGCUUACUGGGCUUUAACUGACGCUGAGGCUCGAAAGCGUGGGGAGCAAACAGGAUUAGAUACCCUGGUAGUCCACGCCGUAGACGAUGAUUACUAGGUGUGGGGGGACUGACCCCUUCCGUGCCGCAGCAAACGCAAUAAGUAAUCCACCUGGGGAGUACGACCGCAAGGUUGAAACUCAGAGGAAUUGACGGGGGCCCGCACAAGCAGUGGAGUAUGUGGAUUAAUUCGAAGCAACGCGAAGAA